RNAcentral lists this long non-coding RNA (8702 nucleotides) under Homo sapiens (human). RNAcentral describes it as "HSALNT0046396". Lineage: Eukaryota; Metazoa; Chordata; Mammalia; Primates; Hominidae. The record is from RNAcentral.
GGAAGCAACCUAAGUGUCCCUCAACAGAUGAAUGGAUAAAGAAAAUGUAGUACAUUUACAUGAUAGAGUACUAUUCAGCCAUAAAAAAGAAUGAAAUCCCGUUAUCUGCAACAACAUGGAUGGAAUUGGGACUCAUUGUAUUAAGUGAAAUAAGCCAGGCACAGAAAGACAAACUCAUGUUCUCGCUUAUUUGUGGGAGCUAAAAAUUAAAAUGAUUGGCCAGGUGUGGUGGCUCACGCCUGUAAUCUCAGCACUUUGGGAGGCUGAGGCAGGUGGAUCACAAGGUCAGGAGAUCGAGACCAUCCUGGUUAACACGGUGAAACCCCGUCUGUACUAAAAAUGCAAAAAAUUAGCUGGGCGUGGUGGCAGGCACCUGUAGUCCCAGCUACUCCGGAGGCUGAGGCAGGAGAAUGGUGUGAACCCAGGAGGCGGAGGUUGCAGUGAGCCGAGAUUGUGCCACUGCACUCCAGCCUGGGCAACAGAGCGAGAGUCUGUCCCCAAAAAAAAAAAAAAAAAAAUUAAAACGAUUGUUGAACUCAUGGAGAUAGAGAGUACAAGGAUGAUUACCAGAGGUUGGGAAGGGGGCUUGUAGGGAAGUGGGAAGAGUUAAUGGGUACAAAAAAAGUUAGAAAAAAUUAGUAAGACCUAGUAUUUGAUAACAGGGUGACUGUAGUCAAUAAUAAUUUAAUUGUACAUUUUUAAAUAACUAAAAGCAUAAUUGGAUUGUAACAUAAAGGAUAAAUGCUUCAGGGGAAAGCUAUCCCAUUUUACAUGAUGUAAUUAUUAUGGAUUGCAUGCCUAUAUCAAAGUAUCUAAUGUAUCCCAUAAAUAUAGACACCUACAUACCCACAAAAAUUAAAACUUGAAACUUAAAAAAAAGAAUGAGUGAAUUAGAUGAAUAUAAGUAGGAUAAUAGUUUAUAAGCAAAGUUUUUCAAUAACAAUUAUGUUUUAGAAAAUAUGUCUAGUUAAAAAUAGUUUUAAAAUCUUUUUGGUAACUUGAAACCUUAAAAUGAAAUUAAGUAAUAGAUACUUAUUAAAUAUCUGGGUCACUUCUAAGUAAGUUAAAAAUAUUGAAACACUAAUUACUAGGCACAAGUUUAUGUACUUUGGCAUCUUGUUUUUAUAUAGUACAGAGAAGCUAAAUAGAUUGAAGUUGGUUAAAAACAUGAAAAAUUGCUUCUAGAAAUUAUGAAAUGAUGAAUGCUGUUAUAAAAGAGUUUAUAAUGCUUGCUAGUUUUCACUAGAAAUUAAGGUUACUGGCCAGGCAUGGUGGCUCACGCCUGUAAUCCCAGCACUUGGGGAGGCCAAGGCCGGCUGAUCACGAGGUCAGGAGUUUGAGACCAGCCUAGCCAACAUACUAAAACCCCGUCUCUACUAAAAAUACAAAAAUUAACCGGGCAUGGUGGCGCGUGCCUGUAGUCCUAGCUACUUGGGAGGCUGAGGCAGGAGAAUCACUUGAACCUGGGAGGCGGAGGUUGCAGCGAGCUGAGAUCACGCCACUGCACACCAGCCCAGGCGACAGUGCAAGACUCAGUCUCAAAAAAAAAAAAAAAAAAAAGAAAAAAAGAAAUAAGGUUACUAAGAGUUAAACGUUAUAAUUAACAUAUGUAAUUAAACUGCCAGAAAAUAUGAGGGAAAACUUUCUUUGCUUAGAAAUAAGAUGCAUUUGAUAAGGAAAGUUAUGUAAAUGACACAUUUUUGUUUUUUAAAAAGGCUGAAUUUUUUUUAAGUUUUAAAUGAUUUAUGGAAAUGUUAUCUUUUGUGAUCAAAACUAAGAUUGGAUGAAUUUAUUAAAAGAUUUUAUUUAAAAUUAGCUUUAGUAUUAAUAGUACGCUAAUGCAAAAGUGGAAUUUGGUCUUCUCUGUUAAAGUAACAAAGUUUUCUAGAAGUAUUGGUCUGAGAAUGUGAAGGUUUUUUUUUUCUCCUUUUCAGUAACUGACCUAGAAAACAAAGAUUUUGUGUUUUAUCAAGAUCAUUUUUGGGCUUCAUGCUGUAUUUUAUUAGGUCUUUGAUUACAUUUUAUUCACAACUAUGCAACCUUUUGUAUUUGCCUUUAAAAUCUUUUGUUGUCGGCCAGGUGCAGUGGCUCACCUGUAAUCCCAGUGCUUUGGGAGGACAAGGCAGGAGGACUGCUUUAGCCCAGGAGUUCAAGACCAGCCUGGGAAAUACUGCAAAACUCCAUCUCUACAAAAAUAAAAAUAAAAAUAAAUGAGCCAGGUGCAGUGGCGCAUGCCUGCAGUCCCAGCUACUCAGAAGGCCAAGGUGAGAGGAUUGCUUUAAGCCAGGAGUUUGAGGCUGCAGUGAGCUAUGCUUGUGCCACUACACUCCAGCCUGGGUGACAGAGUGAGACCCUGUCUCUAAAAAAAUGUUAAAAAAAAUAGAAAAUUGUUUUUCUAUUUAAAACUGUCACUUUAAUUAGAUAGCCAAUAUCAUAUUUAAUUUUUUUAAACCUUUUGACAUUUUGACAUACUUCCCAAAAUCAAAUUCUAAAUUAAGUCUUUUUGACCUUGAACUUACUUUGAGAUUUACCAGUUAGGCCUCUUGAAAGCUACAAAAUAUGUGUUUUUCUCACCUUGUAAAAGAAAGAUAUUAAAAUAAUUGGGCUUACAUAUAUUUGAUGCAUUAAAUUAUAUAGUAAGUGUGGUCAAAUAAUGAGUAAUGCUAAACCUAGAGUUAUACUUAGGAGCGUAUUAUUGAUAUGAAAAUGUGAGAUUUUUAAAAGUCUAAUGUUAUCAGUAACAAUUCUGGCAAUUAUGUUAAAAUGUUGUAUCCACAGAAAUAACUAAAUUUCCUUGUCAACUGCUGACUAUAAUGAACUCUCAUCAGAUUUUUAACCAUGGCCAUAUUAAGUCUUUGUCAUCUACAGGCCAUUACUGUUUUGAUUUUUGUCUAAAAGUAUUGGCAAUCAGCGAUAGUCCAAAACUGCUUUUCUUCGAAAAGAUUCAUAGAAAAGACUUUGACAAAUACCCUUGAAUACAGGUUUCUAAUAACCAUAAGAUCAUACCAUUGGACUGUGUGAGAAUUUUCAGAACUCUAAUGAAGAAAUGAAUGGCUUCAUGAAACUGCCAAGCAAGAUCAAGCAGAUCAAGAAUUAAUUACGUGAAACUGAACUGAUGAAGAUUUAAAGAAACUAUUUCUCUUAAGCUUUCUAGAGCUUGCAGAGAUCUGGUAGCAUAUACUUUUGUGAACAGAAUUGGAACAAUUACUUUUUCUUCCUACCUGAUCCUGCUAGGACUCAGAAACUAUUUACAACUUUAAAGAACUAAGGUUGACUUUAUGGAGCCAAUAAAGCCCGCGCUUGGAUAAACUGGCCUGGUACUUUGAAAGCAUCGUUCAUAUGGUUGCCUUAGAGGUAGGUAAAGAAUGUCACCUCCUGGCAGGACCAGGAACCUCAGGAUAUUUUGGGGACCUAAAGCAGAGAGGAAUUCAGCAAAAUCUAGAAGUACUUCAGGUGAAUUUUUUUUUUCUUUUUUUUUUUUGAGACGAAGUCUCGCUCUUCUCCCCCAGGCUGGAGUGCAAUGGCACAGUCUCGGCUCACUGCAAGCUCCGCCUCCCAGGUUCAAGCAAUUCUCCUGCCUCAGCCUCCCGAGUAGCUGGGAUUACAGGCGCCCGCCACCACGCCCAGCUAAUUUUUGUAUUUUUAGUAGAGACGGGGUUUCACCAUGUUGGCCAGGCUGGUCUCAAACUCCUGACCUUGUGAUCCGCCCGCCUCAGCCUCCCAAAGUGCUGAGAUUACAGGCAUGAGCCACCAUGCCCAGCCACUUCAGGUGAAUUUUAAUGGUGAAUCUUAAGCUUGGCCUCCUGGCCUCAAGAGGCUUUUCAAUGUCUAAUCUGAGAUUCCUUAUAAAACGUUCCAGCAAAGCAAAUUUAAAGACAGCCUAUGUGGCCAAUCACUACUCUUGCUGAACUUGUAUAAAUAAUCAGGUCAAGUUUAAUGAAACUAAAUUUAUUUUGCAAACAAAUUAGUUUUACUUUGAUUAUCUUUGAUAGAGAUGAAGGUGACUAUAGAGAGAAAAAUUUUGUUUCAGAAGAAAAGUAUAGUGCACCCAGUAUUAGAUGCUAGCUCAUUGUUUUUGAGAGUUUGUUAUCCACCUGAAAUCUGUGCUGGAUCCUGAAUUUCUCUAGUUUCUUCCAAUAUCUGGCUAUGACUCACCAAACGAAUAUUUCCAAUUUUUAUCCCAGUCUUCUGGCUUGGAAUCACUAAAAAUUAAAGCACCCCUUUUUCUGAAGCCCUGCAAGGUGAAAUUAGAUGGCUUGAUACAGACUUCAGAGAAAUCACUACAACAGCUAUGUAGAGAUAACCUUCGGGCCUGCUGCUAUAUGGACUACUCAGAAAGCUCACUGGAACACCUGAAGCAAACUUUUGUAAACAAGGAAAAUCUGUCAGAUCAUCACUGCCUGCCCCUGCUCCAGCUGGAAAGGCUUUAAGUCCAGCAUCUAGAAAUCUUGACUGGCUGCCCUCUAGAAUUAAAAACUGAGUUUAUAGUUUGUUCUAACCAUUACACUUAUUUUUGUUGUUAUUAUUGUUUCCAUAGAAAUGCCUCUUGUUACAUAUCUGAUUGUUUGCACUGCAUUAGUGCCUAACUUUAGUGGAAGCCCAUUUGCAACACCUCUGCCUGAAGUGAGACAACUGCUAACUGUUUAACUCGACUGAGCUUAGGACUGAGAGGUCUGGUUCAAUAGCUAAUGAGAAUCCACCAAACCAAUUUCUGGAUGUGAAACUUCUUGAGGAAGUUUCAGACAGGGGACUAUCGGGGCUCAGAAAAUGAAAUCUCAAAGUAUGGCACUUUGGCAAGCUGAGUACUUUGAUCUAGAAAAUAUCAGAAAGCCUCGGAAGCAUGAUCUCUAUGACCUUUUCCCCGCCCUCCUGUCUCUCACCUCUCUUUCUCCCCUGAAGUGAGGCAUAGAAACCAAAAUUUCUCUUCCCCAAGGCGGGCCAUAGAAACUAGAACCCCUAUCCCCCAAAGCAAGCCAAAAAACCUAGAAAGGUCAUUCUCUCCCUUUGCCCUUCUUCCUUGAAGACCCUCAUUCCAGAGGGGUCCUGUCCCACACCCAGGAGGAAAGAAUGCUACACAGAGAGGCCAAGAAGACUCUGAACAGACAGGCCUUGCUGGGUUUUCCCCUGCAGUCUACUAUCAUUCAAUCGUACCCUUUUUGUCCAACACAUUUCUAUAUGGCUGUCCAUUCUUCAUCAAACAUAAGCAUACAAAUAGAUCAUUUUUCCUGGGUCUUUGGUCUUCAUUUCUGAGGCUCCUAUGUAAUGUAAAACUUUAAAUAAAUUUGUUACGCUUUAACCUGCCUCUUGUUGUAGGAGUGCAGGCCAUGACUCUUAUGAGGGGUAAGGAAGGGCAUUCAUUAUACAUUUCACCCCUACAAGCUUGAGGAAUCAAAAGCAGUUAAGCAGAUCUCAAAACUGACAGAUUAAUUGCCAUUAAUACAUAUUUUUAUUCUUAAAGUUUCUUGUUAAAUUACCCUAGAAGUUAAGAAAAACUUUACAAUUAUCCCAGUCAUGAAUUUGAAUUGAUUUAAAAAAUAAACAAAAAACAAUCAAACCAAAAAAAACACAAAAGACUGGAAAUUGGGAGAAAUUUCCAUUUUAAUCCAUUUAUAAAGAAGCAAUGAAAUGCUGAUAAUAGCAAGAGCGUUCAAUAUAUCAACAAACCACAAAUCAAACGAGAAUAAAAACAAAAUUCAAACUUGAGACAAGCAAGGUGAAGACAGAUUAGAUUUUAAACUGUUUUACAAAUUCUCUCAAAAUAUGUUCAUACUCGUCUCUAGCAGCCAUGUCUUUAAACUCUUCAUAUGAAAAGUGCCUAUUGUACAUUAAUUAGAUGGAAUAUUUACAAUUGCAUGUAUUUGUGAAUAAUAUAUAAAGUAUUUGCAUGUUAUAAAAUACUUCAAAUAUGAUCUGGCCAAGUUGGGAAUCACUUCUAUUUUUUAGUCAAAUGAAUCCGGUUUUCCCACUCAUUUCUGUUAUAAAUCAGAAAUGCAUUCCCAAAGAAAACAAAAAAGAAAGUUUCUGCCCCUCCCCCAAAAUAAUAAUGGUAAGAACGUGGCCAGUUCUGUGGCCUUUCUGGAAUUGUGGGCCCUAGUAUAUUGAGCUCCUCGGAAACUAAAAACAUUUGCAUUUUUAAUGUGGAAAGGUAUCAAUGUGUACCUCUCCUUAUGUGAGUAAAUUUGUAACUUCCCACAUCUGGUUUAUGUAAAAGUAAUACCUAUAAAAAGUCACAAAAGGUAGACAACAAAAUACAUUAAAGACAGACCAUUAACCCUCACACAUAUAGAAUGAAAUAACAGCAUACUAUGAACUCAUAUAAUAACAGUAUUCCAAAACUUUAAACUUCUCCUAAUAUUUGUGGUUCUUCUCCCAUGAGAAUAGUCCUAAAGCCCUUGGCCAGAGAUGUGGGCACCCGGGGAAUGAGACCAAGAGAGAGAAUGAGCUAAAACUAAAUUACACCUUCAGUUUUGCCACUAAUAUUCUCUAGGACUUGGUCAGUGGCUUAUCCUCAGAGCAUCUUAACUUACCCAUGGGCAAAAGGACCUCAAUGCCUUUCCUGCCAAACUCUAAAAGAAAAUGAAAGUCACUCUGAAUCCCUGUUAUAAAGGUCCUAUAAAUAUCUAUAGCUGUUAUUAUUAUAGGAAAACAUGCUUCAGCCCCAGAUACAACUAUUUCAGCUACACACGCAACACAACCAGGGAGAGAAGACAAAAGCUCGCUUUCACUAAGUAACCGUAUGAACUGGAAUAUAGUCAGUGGUCACCCGUGUAAUAUUUUUAUUAUCCAUAGUAGGCUAAAAUAUAAAAUAUAUAAAAGACGCAGCCUAUACAUUAACAAGUAUUCAAGGUAAAAAGGAAGAGGGCAAAAACACACACAAUAAUAAGACAAAAACAUAUAACAAGAAAUGCUGUUGUAUAAAGAGGUAAACAAUAGAUGAAUCUCACAGGCAUAACAAUGAGCAAAAGAGGCCAGAUACAGAGGAAUACAUGCUGUGUGGUUCCAUUUAUAUGAAGUUCAAGAACAGGUGCAACUAGGCCAGGCGCUGUGGCUCAUGCCUGUAAUCCCAGCACUUUGGGAGGCUGAGGCAGGUGGAGCACUUGAGGUCAGGAGUUCGAAACCAGCCUGGCCAACAUGGUGAAACCCUGUCUCUACUAAAAAUUACAAAAAAUUAGCCGGGCGUGGUGAUGCAUGCCUGUAGUUCCAACUACUCGGGAGGUUGAGGCAGAAGGAUCACUUGAAACUGGGAGGUGCAGGUUGCAGUGAGCCGAGAUGGUGUCACUGUACUCUAGCCUGAGUGAUAGAGCAAGACUCCAUCUAAAAAAAAAAAAAAAAAAAAAAAACAGGUUCAACUAAUCUGUGUUACUAGAAGUUAGAGUAGUGGUUUCCUCUUACAGGUGGGUAGAGGAUACUGGACUGAGAAAGGGCAGGAGGUGCUGAAAAUGUUCUAGAUCUUAAUCUGGAUAGUGGUUUCCAAGGCAAAUGCAUAUGUAAAAAGCCAUCAAGGGCACCAUAAAGAUGGAAGCCCUUUAUGUAUGUUAUCCAUACAUUUAAAAAAAAUGAAGAAAGUCUAUAGAUGCCUUAAAUGUGAUUGAACGUAGCUGUGUGGAAUUAUAACGAAUGAAGGUCAGAGAUAUGGUUUGGAUGUUUGUCCUCACCAAAUCUCAUGUUGAAAUGUGAUCUCCAGAGUUGGAGGUAGGGCCUGGUGGGAGGCGAUUGGAUCAUGGGGGUGGAUUCCUGAUGAAUGGUUUGGCACCAUCCCCUUGAUGAUAAGUGAGUUCUCUCUCAGUUAGUUCACGUGAAAUCUGUUGCUUAAGAGAGUCUGGGCUGGGCGCAGUGGCUCAUGCCUGUAAUCCCAGCACUUUGGGAGGCGGAGGAGGGCAGAUCACCAGGUCAGGAGAGAGAGACCAGCCUGACCAACAUGGUGAAACCCCGUCUCUACUAAAAAUACAAAAAUUAGCUGGGCGUGGUGGCAUGUGCCUGUAAUCCCAGCUACUUGGGAGGCUGAGGCAGGAGAAAUUGCUUGAAUCAGGGAGUCAGAGGUUGCAGGGAGCAGAGAUCACAACACUGCACUUCAGCCUGGCGACAGAGGGAGAAUCCAUCUCAAAAAAAAAAAGAGUGUGAGACCUCCCCCUUCACUCUCUCUUACUCCCACUCUCGCCAUGUGACACGCCUGCUCCUCCUUCAUCUUCUGGCAUGAUUGGGAGGUUCCUGAGGCCCUCGCCAGAAGCAGAUGCCAGCACCACGCUUCCUGUACAGCCUGCAGAACCACAAGCCAAAAUUAACCGCUUUUCUUUAUAAAUUACCCAGUCUUGGGUAUCGCUUUAUAGCAACGCAAGAACAGACUAACACAGUCAGAGGGAUUCAGGGCAGCCUGGAGUGGCCAAGGAGGAGGACUGUCCCUCAGAAAUUGUUUAGAAAUGUGGUUUCUGCAUGAUGAGGGACUUGACCUGGCAAAAAAGACACUGCCCAUGAGGAAUACCAAGAGGUUUCUAGAUAGAGAAAGACUGUGUUUCCAAGUUAUCAAAAAUAACUACGACAAACACCAAAGACUCAAAGACGAACGACCUGGCUUUCGGCAGAACAAAUGGCAAGCAUAUUCUGAGACUCAAGAAUUUGGGUGACAUUCGCUAUCCUGAAGCAGUUUCGGGUCAGAAUAUUUAAAGUCUUCUCACAACUGGUGAAAGCUAGACCUCAAACAACUG